Molecule: ribosomal RNA, 406 nt
Filed under: uncultured bacterium
Lineage: Bacteria
Description: partial 16S ribosomal RNA
Rfam family: Bacterial small subunit ribosomal RNA
Source: RNAcentral
AUUGAACGCUGGCGGCAGGCCUAACACAUGCAAGUCGAGCGAGCGGCGGACGGGUGAGUAAUGUCUGGGAAACUGCCUGCUGGCGGGGGAUAACUACUGGAAACGGUCGCUAAUACCGCAUACCAUCAGAUGUGCCCAGAUGGGAUUAGCUAGUCGGUGGGGUAACGGCCCACCUAGGCGACGAUCCCUAGCUGGUCUGAGCGGAUGACCAGCCACUCGGGAACUGAGACACGGUCCAGACUCCUACGGGAGGCAGCAGUGGGGAAUAUUGCACAAUGGGCGCAAGCCUGAUGCAGCCAAGCCGCGUGUGUGAAGCAGGCCUUCGGGUUGUAAAGCACUUUCAGCGGGGAGGCGUUACCCGCAGAAGAAGCACCGGCUAACUCCGUGCCAGCAGCCGCGGUAAUAC